This 521-nucleotide ribosomal RNA is filed under the name Lepetodrilus fucensis. Its description in RNAcentral is "SSU rRNA". It matches the Rfam family "Eukaryotic small subunit ribosomal RNA", at positions 1216 to 1738 of the family's 1831-position model. Lineage: Eukaryota; Metazoa; Mollusca; Gastropoda; Lepetellida; Lepetodrilidae. The record is from RNAcentral.
CACCCGGUCCGGACACUGGAAGGAUUGACAGAUUAAAAGCUCUUUCUUGAUUCAGUGGGUGGUGGUGCAUGGCCGUUCUUAGUUGGUGGAGUGAUUUGUCUGGUUAAUUCCGAUAACGAACGAGACUCUAGCCUGCUAACUAGUUCGCCGGCAGCUCUUGUCGCGCGGCGCCGCUUCGGCGGCAAACUUCUUAGAGGGACAGGUGGCGUUUAGCCACACGAAGUAGAGCAAUAACAGGUCUGUGAUGCCCUUAGAUGUCCGGGGCCGCACGCGCGCUACACUGAAAGAAUCAACGUGGAUGCCCACCUGCUCCGAGAGGAGUGGGAAACCCGAUGAAUCUCUUUCGUGAUGGGGAUUGGGGCUUGUAAUUGUUCCCCAUGAACGAGGAAUUCCCAGUAAGCGUCAGUCAUCAGCUGGCGCUGAUUACGUCCCUGCCCUUUGUACACACCGCCCGUCGCUACUACCGAUUGAAUGGUUUAGUGAGACCCUCGGACUGGAGUCCGUCCGCCGCUUUCGGGUGG